Long non-coding RNA from Triticum dicoccoides, 494 nucleotides. RefSeq lists it as uncharacterized. NCBI's taxonomy places the organism in Eukaryota, Viridiplantae, Streptophyta, Magnoliopsida, Poales, Poaceae. The transcript is spliced from 2 exons. The record is from RefSeq and is a predicted model, not a curated record.
AUGAGGUCAUUGGUUCAAGUCCUGGAAACAGCCUCUUACAGAAAUGUAGGGAAAGAGAAUUAGCUAAAUCUCAAUCAAUUUGAGAGCCGUGGAUUCCGGACAUCAGGUUUUUUUGUGGUUGACGCUAGGAGAAAAGGUUCCGAGCAAGACUUUCAUUUUGCAACAUUGUUACAAGGUGGCUCUAAGUAAAUAAUUGUAAGCUGGGAGAAAUUAUGAAACAACAGUGAGAAGGUCGAGAUUGAGCAUCUCAAUUGAUGCCGACGAUGAAGCUGAAGAUGGGCAGCGCCGGGUCGGCAAUAUCCGGGACCCUGUGCCAAACUUUGAACUGGGGCCCAUCUUUUGGUGGCGGAGCUACAAAGAAAAAUAAAUAGGUGGACUAAACUAAAUGAGAGACCUGAUUAUUUUUCUGAAAUCGUAUAUAGUAGUAUUUCAGUAAUUUGCAAAAAUAAUAGUAUUUCAGUAGAAAUAUUAAAUACUCAGUACCUUUUGUUCUA